CCUACGGGGGGCAGCAGUGGGGAAUAUUGCACAAUGGGGGAAACCCUGAUGCAGCAACGCCGCGUGGGUGAAGGAGCGUUUCGGCGUGUAAAGCUCUGUCUGUGGGGAAGAAGAAAGACGGUACCCGACCAAGAAGCCCCGGCUAACUACGUGCCAGCAGCCGCGGUAAUACGCAGGGGGCGAGCGUGAUCCGGAAUUACUGGGGGUAAAGGGAGCGUAGACGGCGAGGUAAGCCUGAGGUGGAAGCCUAGGGCACAACCGCGGAACUGCAUGUGAGACUGUUUUGCUAGAGUAUGGUAGGGGUAGGUGGAAUUCCUGGUGUAGCGGUGAAAUGCGUAGAUAUCAGGAGGAACACCGAUGGCGAAGGCGGCUUACUGGACCAUAACUGACGUUGAUGCGCGAAAGCGUGGGGAGCGAACAGGAUUAGAUACCCGAGUAGUC
RNAcentral lists this ribosomal RNA (441 nucleotides) under uncultured bacterium. Its description in RNAcentral is "partial 16S ribosomal RNA". It matches the Rfam family "Bacterial small subunit ribosomal RNA", at positions 338 to 795 of the family's 1533-position model. The record is from RNAcentral.